Molecule: long non-coding RNA, 312 nt
Filed under: Brassica napus (rape)
Lineage: Eukaryota; Viridiplantae; Streptophyta; Magnoliopsida; Brassicales; Brassicaceae
Description: long non-coding RNA (BNAP_LNC015064)
Source: RNAcentral
GGGCUUUUGUUUCCAAGUAUGUACUUGCUGAUUUGUAUUCGAUAAAUGCAUUCCACCUGUGUAUAAUUUCUAGUUUGUUAAAGUAUCUUCAGUAUUAAAAAAGACUUUAAAGCACAAUGCAGAAACUUUAUUUUUUACUUGUAUAAUAAAACAAAGGUUCAUUGAUUUUCUGUCGUAUACGGAUUGUCCCUUUUACAGGACACAGUCCAGACAUAUCCUAGCACCUAGGAAGAUGGCGUAGGAGCAUGAUUAACCCUAUAACCUUUUAUGGGUUUCUUAUUUAUUUAUUUUUUUUUUGUCUGAUUAAAAAAA